Molecule: ribosomal RNA, 188 nt
Filed under: uncultured bacterium
Lineage: Bacteria
Description: partial 16S ribosomal RNA
Rfam family: Bacterial small subunit ribosomal RNA
Source: RNAcentral
CCUACACGAAGCUGGAAUCGCUAGUAAUCGCGGAUCAGCACGCCGCGGUGAAUACGUUCCCGGGCCUUGUACACACCGCCCGUCACACCAUGAGAGUCUGUAACACCCAAAGCCGGUGGGAUAACCUUUAUAGGAGUCAGCCGUCUAAGGUAGGACAGAUGAUUAGGGUGAAGUCGUAACAAGGUAGC